CGACGAUUCCUUCUCCUCUGCUCUCUCUGUUUCUCUCUCUCUCCGCUUCCCUUCGUUUCUUUCUGUGACGUGUACCAAAAUUUAGAACGCUUUUUUCUUUUCUUCUCUUUCCUUUUCCAAGAUGGCAACGAUCCAGAAACAAGAACUUGAAGAAGAUGAUGAAACCAGGAACGUUGAUCUCAGUAUAAACAGUGCUGCAGGUGAACAUCCGGACAAGGUAGACCCUACCACCAACUCCACGUUGUCAACGGAGGAGGUUGCUCUAAAGGAAGAGCCUGACACAGUGGAGAGAUCACCUUCGCCUCUUGGUGCGAUGCCCGUCGCAGUCCACGUGCCACCAGCGAUCAGCAUGCCGUUGGUGGCUGCUCCACCCAAAAGACCUUCUACGAAGGACCGACACACCAAAGUGGAGGGUCGGGGCAGAAGAAUCCGAAUGCCCGCAACCUGUGCGGCUAGGAUCUUCCAGCUGACCAGGGAACUGGGCCAUAAAUCCGAUGGAGAGACCAUUAGGUGGUUACUUGAGCACGCGGAGCCAGCAAUUAUAGCCGCCACUGGAACCGGAACUGUUCCCGCUAUUGCCAUGUCUGUCAAUGGGACCCUCAAAAUCCCCACCAC
Molecule: unclassified non-coding RNA, 615 nt
Filed under: Hevea brasiliensis (rubber tree)
Lineage: Eukaryota; Viridiplantae; Streptophyta; Magnoliopsida; Malpighiales; Euphorbiaceae
Source: RNAcentral